UACGUAGGGGGCAAGUGUUGUCCGGAUUUAUUGGGCGUAAAGAGCGUGUAGGCGGCCUGAAAGGUCAGCUGUGAAAACUCGAGGCUCAACCUCGAGACGUCGGUUGAAACCAUCUGGCUAGAGUCCGGAAGAGGAGUGUGGAAUUCCCGGUGUAGCGGUGAAAUGCGCAGAUAUCGGGAAGAACACCCGUGGCGAAGGCGGCACUCUGGGACGGUACUGACGCUGAGACGCGAAAGCGUGGGGAGCGAACAGG
RNAcentral lists this ribosomal RNA (253 nucleotides) under uncultured bacterium. RNAcentral's name for it is "partial 16S ribosomal RNA". It matches the Rfam family "Bacterial small subunit ribosomal RNA", at positions 524 to 776 of the family's 1533-position model. The record is from RNAcentral.